UACGAAGGGGGCUAGCGUUGCUCGGAAUUACUGGGCGUAAAGGGAGCGUAGGCGGACAGUUUAGUCAGAGGUGAAAGCCCAGGGCUCAACCCUGGAAUUGCCUUUGAUACUGAUUGUCUUGAGUAUGGGAGAGGUGUGUGGAACUCCGAGUGUAGAGGUGAAAUUCGUAGAUAUUCGGAAGAACACCAGUGGCGAAGGCGACACACUGGCCCAUUACUGACGCUGAGGCUCGAAAGCGUGGGGAGCAAACAGG
Molecule: ribosomal RNA, 253 nt
Filed under: uncultured bacterium
Lineage: Bacteria
Also listed under: 3 other names
Description: partial 16S ribosomal RNA
Rfam family: Bacterial small subunit ribosomal RNA
Source: RNAcentral